AUUGAACGCUGGCGGCAUGCCUUACACAUGCAAGUCGAACGGUAACAGGUCUUCGGAUGCUGACGAGUGGCGAACGGGUGAGUAAUACAUCGGAACGUGCCUAGUAGUGGGGGAUAACUACUCGAAAGAGUGGCUAAUACCGCAUGAGAUCUACGGAUGAAAGCAGGGGAUCGCAAGACCUUGUGAUUCUAGAGCGGCCGAUGGCAGAUUAGGUAGUUGGUGGGAUAAAAGCUUACCAAGCCGACGAUCUGUAGCUGGUCUGAGAGGACGAUCAGCCACACUGGGACUGAGACACGGCCCAGACUCCUACGGGAGGCAGCAGUGGGGAAUUUUGGACAAUGGGCGAAAGCCUGAUCAGCAAUGCCGCGUGCAGGAUGAAGGCCUUCGGGUUGUAAACUGCUUUUGUACGGAACGAAAAGCCCCGGGUUAAUACCCUGGGGUCAUGACGGUACCGUAAGAAUAAGCACCGGCUAACUACGUGCCAGCCGCCGCCGUAA
RNAcentral lists this ribosomal RNA (497 nucleotides) under uncultured bacterium. Its description in RNAcentral is "partial 16S ribosomal RNA". It matches the Rfam family "Bacterial small subunit ribosomal RNA", at positions 30 to 523 of the family's 1533-position model. The record is from RNAcentral.